ACCGGCAGCUCAAGUGGUGGCCAUUUUUAUUGGGCCUAAAGCGUUCGUAGCCGGUUUGAUAAGUCUCUGGUGAAAUCCCGCAGCUUAACUGUGGGACUUGCUGGAGAUACUAUUAGACUUGAGGUCGGGAGAGGUUAGGGGUACUCCCAGGGGGCGGCGAAAAGCAAAUAGCCUGGGGGGGAGUAACGGUGGAGAGUGUGCCGAACUGGAAAAAACCCCGGGGUUGGUAUGCAGACUCAGGUGCGUGGCCCG
RNAcentral lists this ribosomal RNA (252 nucleotides) under uncultured prokaryote. Its description in RNAcentral is "partial 16S rRNA". It matches the Rfam family "Archaeal small subunit ribosomal RNA", at positions 475 to 726 of the family's 1478-position model. The record is from RNAcentral.